AUGGCGAAAACUUGCACCUUAGUGCUGCUUGGCGCACUGGUGGUGCUCUCACUCCUUGUGAGCCCCAUUGCUUGCUCCGGCAAGCUCGCCAAGGUGGCCGGGCCACACAAGCCUGCUGCAGUCAAGGGCCACAAAAACCAGACGACUAACCCCUCUUCGUCCGCCGCAUACGGCGGCGGCUGGUUGCCCGCCGGCGCCACGUAUUACGGAAACCCUAACGGCGCCGGAAGCGACGGUGGCGCGUGUGGCUACCAGACCGCUGUUGGGCACCGGCCGUUCUCGUCGAUGAUCGCCGCCGGGAGCUCGCCUCUAUUCAUGGCGGGCAUGGGCUGCGGCGCGUGCUAUGAUGUUAAAUGCACGAGCAACUCAGCCUGCUCCGGGAAGCCUGUGACCGUCGUCAUCACCGACCUGAGCCCCGGCAACCUCUACCCCGGCGAGCCGUGCCAUUUCGACAUGAGCGGCACCGCCCUGGGCGCCAUGGCGAAGCCUGGCAUGGCCGACAAGCUCCGCGCCGGCGGUGUCAUCAGGAUGCAGUACAAGAGGGUGCCAUGCAAGUACCCUGGCGUGAACAUUGCAUUCAGGGUGGACCAGGGCUCCAACCCCUUCUACUUCAAGACCCUGAUCGAGUUCGUGGGCGACGACGGCGACCUCAAGGCCGUGGCCCUCAAGGAGGCUGGAAGCGGCGCCUGGACGCCAAUGGCGCAGGACUGGGGCGCACUGUGGCGCCUCAACAACGGCAGGCGGCUGCGCGCCCCAUUCUGCCUCAAGCUCACCUCCGACUCCGGCAGGGUCCUCGUCGUCAACAACGUCAUCCCCGCCAACUGGAAGGCCGGGGCCACGUAUCGCUCCCUGGUGAACUACCGCUAA
Molecule: ribosomal RNA, 867 nt
Filed under: Triticum aestivum (bread wheat)
Lineage: Eukaryota; Viridiplantae; Streptophyta; Magnoliopsida; Poales; Poaceae
Description: partial small subunit ribosomal RNA
Source: RNAcentral